RNAcentral lists this long non-coding RNA (41872 nucleotides) under Gossypium barbadense (sea-island cotton). Its description in RNAcentral is "long non-coding RNA (GBAR_LNC013191)". Lineage: Eukaryota; Viridiplantae; Streptophyta; Magnoliopsida; Malvales; Malvaceae. The record is from RNAcentral.
ACUCUCUUCUUGCAACAUCAGCGAAUUUCCAAAUUUUGUAAGAAAUUUAGAAGGUUUGAACUUUCUAAACCUUUCUUACAAUAGAAUUCAUGUUAUCGAGGCAGAUAUGUUUCUAAAGUUUAAAGGCCUUCAAGUCUUGGAUCUUUCGCACAACAUUCCGCUGUCUGUGGGCAACAAUAGCGAGGUUGAUCUUGUUUUGCCCUGGCUUAGUGACUUGUGCUUGUCUUCUUGUAAUAUAACUGAAUUAUCAAAUUUCUUGACAACGCAAGAGAGUUUGAUGUUUUUAGACCUUUCAAGCAACAAUAUUCAAGGCCGAAUUACAGAGCAAGAAAACAAUUGGGGAAGCAACCUAGUGAAUCUUGAUCUCUCUAACAAUUUGUUGACAGCUCUAGAAUAUUAUCCAUGGAAGAGUAUUGAACUUCUUGAUCUUGGCUCCAACCUGAUAGAAGGGCCACUUCUAGCACCUCCACCUUCCACGAUGGCUUUCUUAAUCUCAAACAACAGAUUAAAUGGAGAAAUUCCAUCUUCGAUAUGUAAUCCAGAGAGUUCGUAUCUCAUUCUUUAUCUCGACUUGUCCUAUAACAACUUGAGUGGAGCAAUCUCAAAAUGCCUGGGCUUGAGAUAUCAUUCAAUUUUGGAUUUGCAGAUGAAUAAGUUUUACGGAAACAUCCCUGAUUUUUGGGUUGAGAGAAAUUACGGGUUACAAAUACUUAACCUCAACAACAAUGAUUUUGAUGGGUCAUUACCUAAAUCCUUGGCCAAUUGUCUUGGUUUAGAAGUGUUAAAUCUUGCAAACAACAAGAUAAAUGACACAUUUCCACACUGGUUGGGAGACCUUCCUCAGCUAAAAGUUCUUGUGUUGCGCUCCAACUAUUUUCAUGGGCAAAUAGCCCAUUCUGCAAAUGAGUCGCAUUUCUCGACUCUGCAAAUUUUAGACCUCUCGUAUAAUAGGUUUUCUGGUUUUCUGCCAACAACAUACUUUAGAAAUUUCAAAGGUAUGACGAAUUUGGCCAGUGUUCCAAUGGAAUAUAUAGGAGCUGGCAGAAGCUAUUACAUUUAUUCCUUGGCUUUAACAAUUAAAAGUGUGGAAUUCAUGCUCGAGAGAGUUCUAACUAUUUUUGCAGCCAUCGAUAUGUCAAGCAACAGAUUCGAAGGAACAAUUCCAGAGACAGUUGGAAACCUUAUUUCUCUCAAAGUGCUCAACUUGUCUCAUAAUCACUUAACUGGUCAUAUUCCUUCCUCAUUAGGAAAUCUGGCACAAGUGGAGUCACUAGAUCUCUCUUGCAACAAGCUUGUUGGGGAGAUUCCUUCAGAGCUGACUGAUCUGAAUUUUCUUGAAGUGUUAAACCUGUCAGAGAACCAGCUCGUUGGCCUCAUACCUCAGGGAAAACAAUUCAACACCUUCCUCAACGAUUCCUACGUUGGCAAUACAGAGUUGUGUGGGUUUCCCGUGUCAAAAAGCUGUGGCCAUAGUGAUCCACCAUCAGCAAUUUUUGAAGAAGAGGAAUUUGAUUCUGCAUUUGGACUGGAUUGGAAAUUUGUAAUGAUGGGUUAUGGAUGUGGAUUGGUUUUUGGAUUUUCAGCAGGAUACAUCAUGAUGACAAUUCGGAAACCAAAAUGGCUUGUUUGGAUGAUUCAACAAGCAGGCAACAGAGUUCUUAGGAGAUUCAAGAAAAAUCGUUGAGGAAGAUGGAAUUUGUGAUGACAGAUGUUUUCUCAUCGAUGGCUAGCUGGUUGAACACCUUUUCUAUAGAAUAUCUCUCGCUUGCUCCAUAAUUUUAGAUUUAAGAGUUUGUCUCAUUUUUGUAUUGUCUUGUUUUUUUUAGGUUUCUGUCCAUGUGUUGUUGAUGAUCACUAAAUUAACUAAAAUUACGACAAAGGCAAGCGCACCUAUCGAAUAAUAAUAUAGCUAUGGUGAGUCGGGAAUAUCGUAUCCACAAGGACUAAAAGUACUAGUACUUACUAUUUUUCUAUUAUAUAGCCGAUAAUUUGAAGGAAUUAUUUUUAAUUUAAAACUAACUAAACUAAUUACUAAGAACGCAACAGAGAAUGAAUUAGGAAAAAUAAUCAAAUAAACCAAUGUGAUAGGCAAUACGCAGGAAAGAAUCCACCUAGACUUCACUUAUUAUUCUGAAUCUGAAUUAAAUGAUUUAUUCACUUGCGCCUUGAUCAGUAGGAAUCCCUAAGUUAUAUUAAUAUCUCUUUCGAGAGUAAGAAUAAUUGACUCUAGGUUGAUUAAUUGAAAUUUCUUUCUAAUUAAACCGCUAUUGUCGCAUUAACUCAAUCUAUAGAUUCCCCUAUUAGAUUUGACUCUAAUCCGGUAGAUUUAUGUUGUCCUAUUUCUAGGAUUGCAUGCAACUCCAUUCAAUUAUGCUAGAUCUACUCUUAAACAGGGAUUUUUGCUCCACUGAAAUAAGCACAUUAAGCAUAAAUUAAUAUUCUGAAAACAUUAAAACACGAAAUAAGCAUACAUAAUUGAAAACAAGAAUCAAUUAUUUAUCAUGUAAUUCAGAAAUCAAAUAAUAAGAUUCAUAUAGGUUUCAUCUUCCCUAGGUAUUUAGGGAAUUUAGUUCAUAAUCUGAAAUAACAUCAUCUCAAAGUUAGGACAACAACAAGACAUAAAGAAACUCAAUAAAACUUCUAAAGAAAUUGAAUGGAGAUAUUCAAUCUUGAAGGAGAUCCACUUCUGAAAUGAAUCUGGUGGCGUUCUUUAAGUCUUUUCUUCGUUCUUCUCUCCGUGUCCCCUUAGGUCCUAUUCUACUAUGUAUUUAUAAAUUUUAGAAUGCUUAGAAUCCCAAAAACUUAGCUUUUUCCGCGUAAAAGAGAAACAUGGUGCGAUACCAACACGAGCUGGCACAUAGGCGUGUAGCCAGCCUUGUAGCUCAAACAGGCGUGUGCCCAACCUGUGUGGAUCUUGAAAACAGAUUUUUUGUCUAAUUUUGGCCCGUUUUUCACUCCUUUUGCUCCCCUAUGCUCACCUAAUAUAGAAACAUGAAUUUAAAGUAUUAGGAGCAUCAAAUUCACUCAUUUACGUAAUAAAUCAUCCAAAAAUGCAUCAAAAAUGGAAUUAAAACAUGUUACUUUUAUAGCUUAUCAGUUGUUGUUAAGAAAUGGCUUGCACGCAGUAUGGUUUUGUCAUUGCAUGCAUGUUGCAAUAGGACAACAUGCUGUUAGUGUUUGUAUUUUGUAUCUUUGUUUCUUAGUUACAUUUGAACUAAGCUAAAAAUGUAUUUGUUUUGAUUAGGUGCUGAUAGACUUUAUAAAUCAGCUUAACCAAGUGUGAAAGUUAAGUUUUAUAAGUUUUAUAAUUUUGAAGACAAUGUAAUGACAGAUUUGCUUUCAGUCAAGAUGUUUACUUGUUUAAAUGGUUGUAAAAUUUCAGCUAUCAAUAUGAUGAACCUUUUCAACAUUUCUUUCUCUUGUUUUUUUUUUAUCCUAUCAAGCAAUUUUUCUUCAAGUUCACAGCUUGAUCUUUUGUUAUUUUUGAUGCAAGUCAUUGAAGUUUGUUGCUUAAGACUCAGCUUUGUUUUCGAUUUUGUUUCUUAACACCAACAAUUGGUAUCGAAAGCCAACUUCUUAGAGGGCCUUUUCUAUUUUCUAUUCUCAAAACAACAUGUCUUCAUCCAGUUUCUCUCCAGCUCUACCAUCAGUGUAACACCCCUUACCCGUAUUCCUUGAUGGAAUAGAGCACGAGGUAUUACUAUUUUUUUUAAAUUUCGGCAGCAUUUCUGCUUAUUUUUACAUAAAACCUCCUGCAAAUUUUCAAAGAACAAUUUCAAACGAUCUUAAUAUUUCAACCAAUUACAGUAUUAUAUGUGCAUACACAAUUUAUUCAAUAAUAAACACCAACAUUUUUAACCGAACAAUAUUUUACAAACAUAUUUAUAUCAUAUUACAUUAAGUCAUCUAUACAUGCCAUGUUUCAAAAGUAUUGAUUACAAAAUACCCCGAGAGAUGACGAUAGUGUCGAUGAUAUUCUGACUUCGUCCAACUUCCGGCAGAUUGUUAUCACUAUAAUCAAGAGAAAAAUAAAGAAGAGUAAGCAUAGCUUAGUAAGUAACCACAUGAAAAAUUAAUCAAUUUCUCAUAAUAUUACAAAGUGAUAUAAUUUUAAUCAUUCAUAAAUUUCAUUGUUUGCUCAAUUUCCAGCAAGCUAUUUUUCUGCGUCACAGUUGCUAAUUUAUUUUUAUCUGGAGCUACAGAGCUUCAAAUUGAGUUCCGUAAAUUUUAUCCGAAAUUAGACUCAUAUACCUUUCUACCAUAAAAUUUUCAGAAUUUUUUGUUUUUCCAAUUAGUACAGUUUAUUCUUCAAAUCUUCCCCUAUUUCACUGCUCGAUAGUUCUGACCACCCUUUACUAAAAUCUAUUUAACUCUCUGUAAAAAAUUAAUAUAAGGUUCUUGUUUAUUUGUACAGAAAAUAGACUUAAUGAGGAAUUUAAUCAUAUAAAUUUAAACCCACAAUUAUUUUUGUACAAUUUUUGGUGAUUUUCCAAAGUUGAAACAGGGGAUCUCGAAAUCAAUUCAGCCCUGUCUCACUAAAAUUUAAAUAUCUCAAAAUAUAUAACUCUUUUGCUUGCUAUGAUUCUUUCAUAUGAAAAUGUACUCAUUCAGCUUCAAUGUCAUAUAUUACCCAACCUCUAAUUCAAAUUCCACCAUUUAUGGUGAAUUUUCCAAGUUACCCAACUGCUGUUGUUUUAAACUGUUUGUAACCAACUUGCUCUUUUGUAGUUUUGAUACUUCCAUUCAUCUUACACAUGGGUUGAUUAAAUAUCAAACCCAAUAUUCCCCACACAAUCAUAUUUAAUUUACAUGUUCAAUCACCCUUCCAAUUUUCCUGCUGAACACUCAGAAUAUUAACCGUUAUUUGGUGGAUUCAGCACUUAGCAACCCCUUGGGGGAAUCAGCACUUAGCAACCCCCCUUUUGCACAUUAAAAAAUAUGGUGGAAUCAGCACUUAGCAACCACCAAUGAUUCGGGGAAUCAGCACUUAGCAACCCCUUAUACAAUCCGUUACGGUGGAAUCAGCACUUAGCAACCACCGAUGAUUUGGGGAAUCAACACUUAGCAACCCCCCUUUUGCACAUUCAAAAAUAUGGUGGAAUCAGCACUUAGCAACCACCGAUAAUUUGGGGAAUCAGCACUUAGCAACCCCUUGGGGGAAUCAGCACUUAGCAACCCCCUUUUAUGUUCAAUGUAUCCUGACUUAUUCCGAGUGUUCAACUGGAAACUUUGUUUUUCAACGCUUUACUACCUUCCAAUUUAACCACAUUUUAGAGUCUAUAUCGAGUAUUCAUUACAUUUUCAAUCAAAUCCCAGCAAUAUAUAUAAAAUAACAUUAAAAUAAUACAUUAAAUCACAUGCAUACUUACCUCGGAACAAAAUAUUGUGAUUUUGCGAUUUACUCAUCGACCUUUUCUUUUCCCCGUUUAAGGUGGUCUUCACGUCUUUCUUGAUCUAUAAUAGCAAAUUUAGCUUAUUCACAUUUAAUAAAACAAUCCUCGACUCAAAUUUUGCAAAAAUUACGAUUUUGUCCCUAAACUUUUGCAUAUUUCCAUUUUCAUCCCUAAGCUCGAAAAUUAAAUUUUACACCUUAUUCUUAUGUUUUACAACAUGCUGAACACUUUUCCCUUCUAUGGCAACAUCAAAUUUCAUACAUCACUCUAACAUACACUUAUGAACAAUAAAUAUUUUUACCGAUUAUAUCGAUUUGCCCGGUUUUACUUAAAAUUGCUUAGCAAAAAUUGUUUAACAUAAUUUCUACCUUCAUAUUCUACCAUUAAACAGAAAAAUAAACACAUUUCACCUAUGGGUAUUUUUCCAAAUAUAAACCCUAACACGAAUUAAUGGUAAAGAACAUAAAGAACAUUAAAAACGGGGCUUGGAAUCACUUACUAUGGAGCUUGGAAGCUUAAAAACCCUAAAUAUGGCUUCCCCCCUUGCUGAUUUCGUUCACCAUGAAGAAGAUGAGCAUAUUUUGACAUCUUUUUCCCAUUUAAUUUUAUUUAAUUAUCAAAUGACUAAAAUGCCCUUACUUAAAAAAAAUCUAUUUCACUAAUUCUAUGCCCAUUUUUGUCUAUCAACUAACUAAUGGUCUAAUUACCACAUAAAUACCUCCAAUUUAAAAUUUUAUAACAAUUAGACACCUCUAAGAUGUAGAACUCAACUUUUUCACUUUUUUACAAUUUAGUCCUUUUGACUAAAUUGAGUGCCCAAACGUCGAAAUUUUCAAACGAAAUUUUUACGAAAAUUUUCCAUGAAAUUGUAGACCAUAAAAAUAUAAUAAUAAUAUUUUUCCCUUGUCGGAUUUGUGGUCUUGAAACCACUGUUCCGACUAGGCCCAAAAUCGGGCUGUUACAACCAGUGUUUAAUGGUGAAAGCUACCAUAUUUGGGUAGUAAAAAUGAAGACCUAGCUGUAAGCAUUUGACGUAUGGGAGGUUGUCAAUGCUGAUACUGAACCACCACCCUUAAGAGCUAACCUCACGGUAGCUCAAAUCAGGCAACACUCUGAUGAUAAAGCCAAGAGGUACAAGGCAAUGUCCUGCCUCAAAAAUAGUGUGUCAAACUUGAUUUUCACAAGGAUUAUGGCCUGUGAUACUCCAAAAAAGGUUUGAGACAAGCUUAAAUAAGAGUUUCAAGGCUCUAAAAAAAAGACAGUAACAACUCAUCAACUUAAGGCGGGACUUUGAAAACUUGAAGAUAAAGGAGACAAAGAUAGUUAAACAAUAUUAAUACAGGAUUAUGGCUAUUGUGAACAAUACAAGACUGCUUGGGGACCAAUUCAGUGAAAGUAGAAUAGUGGAAAAGGUUACAGCAACCUUACUUGAAAGAUAUGAAGCCAAGAUCUCUUCCCUAGAAGACUUAAGAGAUUUUUCAACAAUCUCUUUAACUGAGCUAAUCAAUGCUUUUUAUGCUUAGGAACAAUAAGAGCUAGCAAACAGUAGGAGCAUUAUGAAGGUGCGUUUCAAGCCAAUAGCAGACCAACCUCAAGCUCCCUCAAUUACAAAGGGAAGAAGAGCUAGUUAGACAAGUCUAAAAGAGAUGGAGGAAGGAGAAAAUAUCCACUAUGCUCUCAUUGUAAAAAGGACUAGUCGUCUAAAAGCUUACUGUUGGUACAAGCCUAAUGUGUAAUGCAAGGUUUGUAAGCAGUUAAGCCAUGUUGAAAAUGUCUACAAGAAUAGGGGCCAACAAAAACAACAGUAAUCAAAGUAGUCUAACACUCCAGCUCAAGUAGCUGAGGAAAGCCAUGCUCAGGAGGAGCAAGUGCUUGUUGUUUCUUGUUCAGCAAUAAAAAAAACACAAAAAGAUGGUUGAUUGACAGUGGUUGUACCAACCACAUGACUCCUGAUGCUACUAUUUCAAGUGGAUAGACAGAAAAUUCAACUCAAACGUAAAGGUUGGCAAUGGAUAGUACAUCAAAGUAGAAUGAAAGGGAGAUGUGUUGAUUGACACUCCUUCAGGUACCAAACUUGUUUUAAAUGUCCUUUUAAUACUUGAAAUUGAUAGAAAGAUGCUAAGUAUUGCACAAUUUCUUGAAAAAAAAAGGUAUUAUGUUGUGUUCAAAGGUAAGGAAUGCUUGAUUAGUGAUCCAAGUGUAUCUAAGCUUAUGAUAGUAGCCAUGACAUGAUAUAAGCUUUAUGGUCAACUGGAAUAAGGAGAUUGUUAGUGCCUAUACAACUGCCUUAGAUAAGUCCAAGUUGUGGCAUAUAAGGAUGGGUCAUGUCAAGUAUAGAUCACUACUUCAGUUAUCUAAGGGAGAUUUAGUUGAAAACUUUAAAAAAAUAGUUGAACAACAAGGUGUUUGUGGACAAAAAUAGAUCACUACUUCAGUUAUCUAGGCUCCCAUUUCCAGCAAACAAGGCUUGGACGACCUCGAAAAAAUUAUAGUUGGUUCAUACUAAUGUAUGUGGACCUAUAAAGUCUCAAUCUUUGAAUGGCAACAGGUACUUCAUUCUUUUCAUCGAUGACCAUUCUAGAUUCUACUGGGUUUAUUUUCUCAAGCUCAAGUCAGAAGUUGCCUCAGUAUGUAACAUCCCUAACCCGUAUCUAUUGCCAGAAUAGGGUUAUAGAGCAUUAUCGGAGUUUACAAAUUAAUUUACAGACAUUUCAUUUCAUCAAGCAUUCAUAUUUAAAACCAAUUAAAAUCAAAACAUUAAUGAGCUAACGUUGGUCAAUUUAACUUAUACAUGCCAUUAUAACCAGAAUCAAAACAUCCAAAAUUACCGAUAGAAUUAUUGGAUAGUGUGAUAAACAUUCAUACAUCCAUUCAAUGCAUUAUUCCCCUAACAUACACAAACUUAACAUUCAAGUUAGUCCAAUAAUUUUCAUGUAUCAAUAAUAUAUACCAUGAUUGAUGACCUCAUCAAUACCAUGAUUUCCAUUCCCUUAUUAUUUUUCCAUAUUUAUCCCGUUGAAUUUCUAGGAAUUUCGAUGGAUUUUCAGGGGUACACUUUAAUGUACAAAUUCGGGUCCGUCAAUUCAUAUUCAUGUGCCCACAUUUCCAUUUCAGAAAGCACACUCCCGCGAACCUCAUCCUUACAGCGGGAUUACCAGUCCAGGCUAAAUCCCCUAUAAUAUAAACUCAUAGAGUAUUGUCGGGAUUACCAGUUCAGGCUAAAUCCCCUACAAUGACAAUUACUCUAAUGAGCUUGGAUCUAAAUUACCAGUCCAGGCUAAAUUCAGACCCUAAUUCGAAUUAUACGUCCGAGCUAAAUCCAUUUUCCACAUAUUCUUCGGGAGGACUAUAUCAGGAUAGGAUCACCCGUCCGGGCUAGAUCCCUUUUACCGUCAAUUCUUUUUCGGAGAUUCAUCGAAUUUUCCUUCCAUUCAACUGGGAUUUCUUCCCUUUUUUAUCAAAUAUAUCAAUGUUUCAUCAAUUUUCAUACAAUGAACAUUCAAUAUUCACAUCAAUAACAUACAUUUCAAGCAUUUAAGAAUAUAAUUCAAGUUACACGAACUUACCAAACUAAAUUGCAGAAAUACCAAAAUUCAGGGACAUUUUGGUAAUUUUUUAUUUUCCUCGAAUUUCCACCCAAUCUUGAUCUAAAUUAAUAUUUCAUUCAAUUUAUUAAUUUAAAUAAUAAAAAAAUUCAUUUCAUGCAAUGUGGUCACUUUUUGACAUUUUUACAAAAUUACCCUUAAAAUUUUACUUUUAUUCAAUUUAGUCAUUGAACCUAAAACAUGCAAAUUAGCCAUUUUUAAUGAAAACUCAUGCUAGUUGAAUAAGCAUAUAUUUUCCUCCUCCUCUCCAUUCCACAUAAUUAAUGUAGAUAACAUGCUUAUAUGUAACAUUAUCUAUAAUUUCACCAUUUAUUUAUAUAUUCAUUCAAAGCUGUCCACUUGAGUCAUAGUCACUAAAUUAUUUAUAUCUUGAGCUACGCAACUCUGAAUUAAGAUCCGCUAAAUUCUUAUGAAACUAGACUCACAUGUCUUCUUGCCAUCAAAAUUUUCAAAUUUUAUGGUUUAGCCAAUACGUACAGUUUAUUCUUUAAAGUCAUCCAUGUUCUACUAUCUAACAAUUUCGACCAUUCUUCACUAAAAAUUAAUUAUCUCCUCGUACGGGACUAGGAUGAUCUUGUUUGUUUCUAUUGAAAAUAGACUCAUUAAUAAUUUUAAACAUAUAAAUUAUAACCCACAAUUAUUUUUAUACAAUUUUUAAUGAUUUUCCAAAUUCAGAACAGGGGAACCCAAAUUCAUUCUGACCUUGUCUCACAAAAUUUAUUAUAUCUCAUGAUUUACAAUUCCAUUACUUACACCGUUUCUUCUAUGAGAAAGUAGACUCAAUAAUAUUUAAUUACAUAUUUUUUCAUCCUCUAAUUUAAUUUCUACUAUUUUUGGUAAAUUUUCAAAGUCAAACUAUUGCUGUUGUCUCAAAACUAUUUUAGUGUAAAAUGUUGAUAACUAAAUUUAUAACACCUUCCUUUCCUUUCUCUUCAAUAUUUUCCAUCACUUUCUCUUAUUUCCCUUUACUAACAUAACAAGAAUACAGAACCUUAUACAAUGAAACUAGAGGUGCUCAUAGGCCGAGCGGCCCGGCCCGGCCCGAAGGCUCGCCCGAAAUAUGGGAGGGUUCGGGUAAAAAUAUAGGCCCGAAAUAUGGGUUUGGGCAAAAAAUGAGGCCCGUUUAGAAAAUGGGCCGGGCCUCGAGCACCACUUUUUUGGCUCAGGCCCGGCCCCCGAAUAUAUAAUAAAUAUUUAUUUUUUAUUUUUAAAAUAUAUUUAAAAUACGUUUUCCUCUCUUCUCACGUUGGUUGCAUGGAAAAGAUGAUGAUUUUUUUUCAUCUUUCCUCCCUUUUAUAUUAAUCAUUUAAUAAUAAAAUAAUACGAAAAAUCUUAAUAAAAUAUUAAUUAAAAAUAUUUAUCUAAAUUAAUUAAUUAAAAAUAUCACCAACAUCAUCAUCACCUUCUAGAAUUCUCUCUCUGUAAUUUACCAUUUUGUCCUUUAUAAUCUUUUGAAAUUCCAUCCUUGAGUCAUCACUUAAUUUGCUAAAAUUACAAUUUAGUCCCUCAAAAUUCUUCACCUUUUCAAUUUGGUCCUAAUUCAUCCAUUUUCCUUAGUUUCUAGAUUAUUCCACCCUUAAAAUAUUUACACUAUUGGUCCUUUAACUUUUUUGUAUUUACACUUUAACCCCCUAAAUUUUGAGUAUUUACUCUUGAGUAACAAAACUUUUCUCACUUUUGCAAUUUAAUCCUUUCUUGAAUUAAUAUGUCAUAAUAUACUUCCCAAUGUCGACAUAACUCAAAAUCACCCUUUUAUCACUUUAUUUUCUUAUUUUACUAUAUCAGGAACAUUAUCUUACUUUCUUACUGUAGUAAUUUUUGGGGUAUUACACAGUAUUUUGGAAGUUCAAAGUUGCAAUUGAGACUCAAUCAGGUUGCAAGCUUAGAAUUAUAAGGUGGAUAUAAUACACCUUUAAUCAGUCGCAAAGGUUUUUUGAAGAGUCAAGAGUUGAACACUAGCUCACCAACACCUACACACCUCAUAAAAACAGUGUUAAUGAAAGGAAGAAUCGAACCCUGAUAGAUAUGGCCAGAUGUCUGAUAUUUGAAAGAUGUUUGUCAAAAAGUUUUUAGGCUGAGGCAGUGGAUACUAUAGUUUAUCUUCAAAACAGGCUACCAACCAAAACCCUAUUGGAGAAAACUCUAUUUGAAGUCUGGUUUGGAUUCAAACCAUCAAUGGCACAUUUGAGAGUCUUUAGUUGCAUCUAUUAUGCACAUUUUCCUACUGUCAAAAAGGAAAAAUUAGAAAAGAAGGCUCAACUUAGCAUCUUUGUGGGCUAUAGUAGUGUUAAAAAGGGUUAUAGAAUCCUCGAUCCUACAACUUACAAAGUUUUUGUAAGCAUAGAUGUAGUUUUUGAUGAGAAGCCAACAUGGAUCUCAGACAAGGAUGAGCCAGAAAGUGUUGCUGAAGACUUGGUGACAAGGCCAAAUGAAGGUGAUCAGAUUGAGCAAAAGAUGAAUUUUAAACAUGAGUUUGUUAGAGGAACCAAACUGAUCAGUGAAGUGUAUGAGAGGGUUGACAUAGCUGCUGUUGAGCCAGUUGAUUUUGAAUAAGCAGAAACACAAGAAAGCUGGAGGCAAGCAAUGUUGAAUGAAAUAAGCAUGAUCCACAAGAAUCGGACUUGGGAACUAGUUGAAACACCAGUCCACAAGAAAGUCAUAAUAGUGAAAUGGGUGUUUAGAGCCAAACAAAAUGCUGAUGGAAGUUUGAACAAGCUCAAGGCAGUGUUAGUUGUGAAGGGUUUCAAGCAACAGCAUGGUGUUGACUACUUUAAAACAUUUGCACCAGUGGCAAUACUAGACACUAUUAGACUUCUGCUUGCAUUGGUAGCUUAAAGGCAGUGGAAGUAGGGGGGAGCAUUCGAUCGAAUCGAAUCGAAUCGAAUCGAAAAUUUUCGAGUUAAUCGAGUUUUCGAAUCUCAUUUUAUCAUCCUAACUUUAUUUGAAGUUUUCUCGAAUCGAGUCGAGUGAGAUGGAAUUCGAAUCGAAUCGAAUCGAAUAUAUUUGUUCGAGUUAAAUUUUAAAAAAUAAUUUUAGGUCCUUGUAACCAUUGUCACCCAUCAUAAUAAAAUUUGUCCACCUUAAUCAAAUUUUUUAUUAACUUUCAUCACCUCAUAAUUUAUUUAUUAAUUUUUUAUAUACUGGUUAGCUUAUUUGUUUGCUUAGUUGUUUCAAUUAUCUUCGGAUUCUUGUCACUAUGUAUUUUGGAAUUAAAAAUAUAUUAAAUAUAAAAAUAUGAUUUUUUAAUAAAAUUUAUUUUAAAAAUAAAAUUUGAAAUUGAUACCAAUAUAAAAUUUUAACACGAAUAUUUUAUGGCAUAAUUAAGAAUUCAAUUUUAAUAUAAAUAUUCAAUAUGACUAAACAAUUCAAUAAUAUAAAUAAUAUAAAAUGUGAAAUUUAAUUUAAUAAUAUAAAUAGUAUAUAUAAAUAAAAUUAUUACUAUUUAUGUUUAGUGAUUUUUUUUGGAUAAUUUUGAUUUUUUAUUUGAGAGUAAAGGGUGAGAAGUAAAAGUUUAGGGGGAAAAUAAAAAAUUUUGGGGAAUAAAAGUUUGAGGGAAAGUAAAUAGGGGGAGUAAAAUUUUGGAGGGAAAAUAUUAAAAAAAAUUGGAGGGGGGAGGGUUUGGGGUAGAUGGGAGGUGGGAUGGGAAGAGAAUAAAAGUUUUAGGGGAAAAGUGGGAGGGAGUAAAAAUUUUGGGGGAAAAUAAAAAGUUUUAAAGGUUUUUGAGAGUAAAAUUUUGAAAAGAAAUGAAUGGAAGAGUAAAAUUUUGGUGGGAAAUGUAUUUUGAGUAGAUUGGGGGUUGGGAGGGGAGGGGAGUAAAAGUUUUGGGGGAAAAGUGGGAAGGAGUAAAAGUUUUGAGGGAAAAGUAAAAAAGUUUGAGAGUUUAGGGUAAAACUGUAAAAUAUUAUAGUUUGAUAUUCGAAUUAUUCGAAUUAUUCGAAUUAUUCGAAUUAUUCGAGUUAUUCGAAUUCGAAAACUCAACUCGAUUCGAACUCGAAAUUCGAAAAAAAAAUUCGAGUUGAUUCGAAUAACUCGAUUAACUCGAAUAACUCGAUUCGUUUAACUCGAAAUUCGAAUUUUUUUUUGAUUUUUUCGAGUCGAAUCGAAUUUUGCUCACCCCUAAGUGGAAGAUACAUCAACCUGAUGUAAAAUUUGCCUUCCUCAAUGGAUUCCCCAGUGAAGAAAUAUAUGUUGAAUAGCCUGAUGGUUUCAAAAUGGCGAGUGAAAAAAGAAAGGUGUACAAGCUAAGAAAGGCAUUGUAUGGCUUAAAACAAGCACCAAGGGCUUGGUAUAACAAAAUUAAUAGCUACUUGUCAAGCUUGGGAUUUGAAAGAAGCAAUAGUGAGCCAAUAUUGUAUGUGAAGAAAAAAGGUAAUGAAACACAACUGAUAGUCUUGUUAUAUGUGGAUGAUUUGUUAGUACUUGUGGGAAUCAUGAUAUACUAGCAGAAUUCAAGAGCAAAAUGGAAAGUGUCUUUGAAAUGUCUGAUUUGGGAGAAAUGUCUUAUUUUCUUGGGUAUCUCAAACUCGGCAGGGCAUCUUUAUAAGUCAAAAGGCUUUUGCUUUGAAGAUUUUAAACAAAUUUUGCAUGCAAAACUGCAAAGCUGUUAGUACUCCAGUUGCAAUUGGUGAAAAACUCACUAGUCAAGGUGUAUUUGGAAGGGUAAAUGAAUCAAGUUAUAGAACCCUAGUGGGAUGCUUACUCUACUUGACAGCCUCAAGGCCUAAUAUUGUGUUUGCAGUCAGUCUCUUAUCUAAAUUCAUACGGUAUUGUAAUGUGAGCCACUUUCAAUUAGCAAAAACAGUUAUGAGGUACAUCAAAGGGACUUUGAGCUAUGGAUGACAUUAGCUCAUUAGGAUGACAUUUGAGCAAAAGGUCAUUGUUAUCAUCAUCCAUGCGACCGAUGGGAUUCAUUAUUGUUGGGAUGAUAGCCUUGAGCCAUGUGGUGCCUGUUUUCAUAGAAGAAGUCAAAAAUACAUCGGAGUCAUUUGCUUGGAAGUUCAACCUGGCAGCCAUGGCAGCAGGAAGGUAAGAAUUGGUAUACCAGAAGCCUUCCCUGUUGUAAAGAUCUGAACAACACCAUGUUUCUUUUGGGAGUUCACCGAACAAAGUAGAAAAUGCAGAUGGAAAGCUAGAGUACUUCAUCGAAAGAUCUUCCCAAAAUAUAACACCUGGUAGAUAUAGGAACUAAACCAAGUACAAGAAAUAUAACAGCACUCCAAGAGUUAAUCUCAAGCAAAAUAUAUAUUGAGAAAAAAAGGAUAAACGUAGGCAGCCCUAAGAUCAGAGAAAGUCAAUAGAAAAGUAGUAUUUAUAUGAAAACCAUUGGGACAUUUACCUCCCUUGGUUCAUACAAUAAUUAUCUUUAAGUAUAGCCUUUUAUAAUAAAACAUAAUUGCAAAUAAAAUUAACAGAACAGCACUUUGCUUACAGCUAAAUAAAAGCUCAAGCCAAAACAAGUUAGCAUUAAUAGAUUAUGAACAUAGCAAUGGUAGUCCCCAGCUACACAAAGAAAAGGCACUUUAAUAAUAGAUUCGUCCAUUCCUAUAUCUCAGUUGCAAACCUAUGGCCAAACCUCAGUAUCUCUAAAGACAAAUAUGUGGGAUAUGUAUUGUCAUAUUUGUGUCUGAAUAUGCACCAAACAUAUGUUUUAGACUGAUAUAUUUCAAGAAAAAGGAAAGAGUAUGAGAAACAUAACUUAUGCAUCACUGAAGAAGCAACAAAAUUAUUGUCUAUAUCUAAAGAUGAGCAAAACUCAAUUCGAUACGAAAAAAUCGAAAACUUUUUUGAAUUUCGAGUUAAUUGAAUCGAGUUAUUUGAGUCAACUGAAUAAAUAAUUCGAGUUUUGAGUUCAAGUUGAGUUAACUUUUACAAUUGGAAUAACAGAUUCGUAUAAAUAUCCUUCCGAUCCUUGUCAAUUUUGAAAAUGAACAAAUUGAUCUAUCUCCCAACAAAAAAUACAAAAUAAUUAAAAUAAUUUUCAAAAAUUCAAAAAUAUUUAUAAAAAUUCCAAAAUAUAAAGAAUAUAUAAAUAAAGAAAGUUAAAUUUUAAAUUUUUUUCUAAAAUAAUAAUUUUGGGACCUAAAUAAGUUAAUUAAUUAUUCAAGUUUAUAGUACUAAAGUAUCUCAUUAUUUUAUUAAUUUUUGUUAUAUAUGCAAAAGUUUUCAAAGAUAUAUGAUUUCAAAUUUACAUAGUCUAAUAUGGAACUAGUUAUACCAUAAUAAGAUAUUAAUUUGAGAUAUUUAAUGUUUUUUAAAUUUAACUCAAAUAAUUUAACUCGAUUCAACUCAACUCGAUUAAAAAAAUUUCUGAUCGAGUUAGGAUGAUAAAAUAGGACUCGUCAACUCAAUUAACUUAAAAUCUUUUAACUCGAUUAAUUUGAAAUUUUUUUACUUAAUUUGAUCGAACGCCCACCCCUAUUUAUCUGAGUUCAACUUGUACAUGCCAGCCUGCAUAUUUACAAAAUAAAUAGAACAUACUGAUAGCCAAAUACAGUAGUACUAAUAUUCACUUAAGUAAACAUAUCAUUGAAAAUAUACGUGGCUCAAGCUACGAACAUUAGGUUAAAGUACAGAAGUUACUGAAGCCAAAUACAAAUAGUUGCAGACGUUUAGGUGAAAAGAUUACCACAUCUUUAGGGUAACUUUUCAUUUGAAGUUCAAAAAAGUAGCUGGAAAAGUUGGACAAAAGGUGAACCCUAAGUGUUGCUAAUAAGUAGGAAAAAAACAUAUAUAAAGCAUGCUCUAAAGUUUGAUUCCUAAUCUACUUUCAACCUCAUUUCUAGAAUGAUUCAAAGUUAAUUUUUAGGGGUUACUUUUCAUUUGAAGUUCAAAAAAAUAGCUGGAAAAGUUUGAGAAAUGGUUAAACCAACUUUAGAAGUAGGGUAGAGAGAAAUUUAAAAUGUUGCGAGAGAUGUCUAAACGAAAUUAGCUUUAAAAUUGCUUUGUUAUCCACUUUUUCAAUUAACUUGCUUUUGCAAUUUUUUUUAUGUUUUAUUCACACAACCUAUAUUAUGAUGAAUAAAAGAGUUAUUAGUAAAUGAAUCUCAAAGAUAAAUAAAAUCUAAUGAUUGUCUACGUUUUAUACUGAUGAAAACAGUUCACUGAGCAUUAAGCAAAACAUAAAAAGGAUAUCAAUUUUUUUAUUAAACAAUUUAGAAAUAUAAAAGAUGGUGGGAAAAUAGAAAAAUACUUUGUUUCUAUAUUUUUGGGUAUGUCAUACAAAUGAAAAUUCACUCCUAUAUAUAGGAGGUCUUAUGUCUCUUUAUAGGGAUAUAACUACCCAAAUAGAUAAUCAUAUCUUUAGCAAUAAACAUAAUUAUUCAAUAGAUAUCUACUCAGAAUAAUCUUGACUAUUUGUUAAUAAUUAAAUGAUAUUAUUUUUGAAUUUAAGAGACAUAAUUCAUCACUAUAAAUAGUGACAACUUUUGAUUAAUAACUAGGUGAAAUUAUUUUUGAUUACUUAUAACUUUUCAUUUCAUUUGCAACUAUUGAAGCACUAUAUAUAUUUUAACAUAUAUUACACAUAAUGCUAUCAUUAUUAUAUGCUUUCAUCAUGAUUGUUUACAUGACAAAAUUUAUAAUUAAAUAGUAAUUGGGAAGUUCUUAUGGAUCGAUGCGGUACCGGAUGAAACAAGAUCAUUGUUCUUCAAGAGACUGUAAAGUUCAAUAAACAUGUCAGCAGAUGGAUGCACUCUACUUUAGCAUAUAAUAGUAAAAAGAAGAUAAAUAUUAUCUUAUUUUCCUCAGCUUAGGAAAAUUAUAAAUUAUAAUCAAGGAAAAGAAAAGUGUCUUACAAAUCAUGAAUAGCUGCUAUCUCUAAAAAUCAUCCAUUACAAAGCAGUCUCCCAUGCCCGUCAGUAAACUGGGUUUCUACCUCUAGCUGAUGCCUUUAGCAGGUGUCCGUCUCCGAGCAUGAGCCUCCAUUAGGUGCAUUAUUUGGAGGUCCAUAUGGCAUGAACCACUUAACUGGUCAUAUUUCCCCCUUCAGGGACGGCACAAAGGGAUGGCAGGGGCUUUGGCCCCUAAUUUGAUAUAAUUAUCACUUUAGAUCUUUAAACUUUAGUACUCCCAAAUUUUUUUAAUUUAAUUUCGAUCUGUUAUAAAUUUUUUAGCUUCACCUUACCUAUCUCACUAGAGAAUUUGGUAGGACCUGCAUCACUAGAUCUCUCUUGCAGCAAGCUUGUUGGAAUUGAUUGAUCUAAAUUUUUUCGAAAUGUUAAGUCUUUUUGAGAAUUAACUUGUUGAAGUCAUUCCUUAGGAAAAACAAUUCAAUACAUUUUUCAACGAUAUUUAUGUUGAUAAUAUAGAAAUACGUGAAUUUUCCGUUUCAAAAAUUAUCAAAUUUCAGUUAACAAUAUUGGAUUGGAUUAAAAAAUUAUAAUGAUGAGUUAUGCACGUGGAUUGGCGUUUGGAACUUUUUUUUUUUAUAAGAUAUAUGAUGAUGAAAAUUCGAAAACCAAAAUGGUCCGUUGCUAAACGGCUCAUUGCUAGCUUGACUAACUUCACUCUGAAUUUUUCUUUUGGUCUAAAUAGAGAGUAGAUUUGAAGUUUUUGUUGCGUUUAGGUAGUACACAUGAAAAUAAGUUUUUGAAGUUAGGCUUGAAACUUUAAUAGCCAACUUCUAAUUUUAUUAUAGGCAAACGUAACGUGUAGGUUUUCGUUUAAAUUAUUUUAGUUUAAUUUUCAUUAUGUUUGUUUUUUUAAAAUUUAUUUUAGUAUAAGUUUAAAUAUAUUUUAAUUUUUAGUUUGUUGUGCUUUUAUAUUGAGUUGGUUUUAAAUAUAGUUGAUUCAACAUGUAUUAUUUGAAAUUUAUAUUUAUUAUUGUACUUGAAAACACCUUAAAAAAUUAGAAAAGUAAAAGAAAUUAUAAUUAUGAAAUGUAAAAUCAAUAUCUUCAUUGAAAUUCUCAAAGCAAAAUCCAUAUUACAAAUAUGUAAUGAAUCGAAAAGAACCGAACAAAACUUAUAUACGAUAAACAUACAUGAUGUAAUUAGAGACUCGUAUAUUGCAAGUCCAACUUCAUUGGGUUUUUUUUUUGUUUCAUUUGAAUUGAUCUGUAACAUUCAAAAGUUCAAAUUUACAGCGUCCCAUGUAACAUUUUCUACAAUUGAAAACCGACAUUUGAUAUAAAAUCUAAUGCUCACCAUCAAGCUUUAAACAUGUCUCUACGAUUUAUACCUACUAUCGCCAAAGUUGAGGCCAUUUCAUUUCCUUUCUUAUCUGCCAUUGAAAAUACAACACUACCUACCUUUUCAAUUUUCCUCUCAAUAUCUGCAAAUGUUGAUUGUACUGACCAUGGUCUCAUUGACUUGUUUGCACACCAGUUGAACACCACUUUAAAUCUACAAAUAGUGAGUCAUUUAUCUUCCAUUCCAAAUAUAUAAAUACUUCCAAGGCUAAAAGCACUACUCCUGCCUCUGCCGAAUCAACAUUAUUUGCUGCAAUAGGACCUAGAAACAGAGCUCUUGCAACACCCUCCAUAUCUCUCAAAACACCUAGACAACUUGCACUAUCCUCAUUUGCUAUCCCACAUACAUUGAACUUUAAUCCUGUUUUGAUGAGUUUGAGGAUAAUACUCGUCCUUAAAACACCUAGACAACUUGCACUAUCCUCAUUUGCUAUCCCACAUACAUUGAACUUUAAUCCUGUUUUGAUAAGUUUGAGGAUAAUACUCGUCCUUAAAAUUUUUGGGAUGAAAUUCAUCCUUAAUUAUGAGAUGAUUUUCAAUAAUCGUCCCUAAAAUUUUUUAGAGACAUGGUUUUAAAAAACGCAUAUUGAGGACGAUUUAAGUCAUCUCUAAAAUUAUUGAACACAUUUUUCAAACUUUUAGAAACGUUUUAAUCGUACCCAAAGUUUCUAGAUUUUGUAGUGUUAUGGGAGAAGAAUAAUUAUGAGAGUUCCUUGUGUGCAUCUAUAUGGAAUGUUAGAAAAUUAAUUCGUGUAUUCGUUCUUUGAUCCAUAAUUGAUUAAUAGACCAAACUACUUAAUGUGUUAAUGUGUUGAUGUAAUAAUGUCAUUGGAUUGCAAUAUUAUAGCCAUCCACAAAUUUGGAAUAAUGCAUUUCAUAUAUCUCCACUCUUAAUAUUAUAUAAAAAUAAUAAUUUUGUUGUUAAUUAUGUGAUUUGUUAGUAAGAAAUGGAUUUGUCUUUGAAAGAAAGAUAAUGAUCAUGAAAAAUUCGAGUUUUCAAUCAAAGAUGAGGGCAUUGCUGUGGAUAAGGUUUGUCUAUGAUGAUUUAUUGAUGCAGGAGAGCUUUUGGUGGAUUUAUUUAAACAGGUGCAAAAUAAGCACAAUUAAAUCCUAAUCAUCCUCAUCGAUAUGACACCCUCCUCAGCAAGGAUGUUUAAAGUUCAAUGUAUGUAGAAUAGCAAAUGAGAAUAGUGCAAGUCGUGUAGGUGUUUUGAGAGAUAUGGAGGGUGUUGCAAGAGCUUUAUUUUCAGGUCCUAUUGUAGCAAAUGAUGCUGAUUCUGCAAAGGCAAGAGCAGUGCUUUUAGCAUUGGAAGUAUUUAUAUAUUUGGAAUGAAAGAUAGAUAACUCACUGUAUGUAGAAAUUGGUUCUAAAGUGGUGUUCAAUUGGUGUUCAACUGGUGUACAAACAAGUCGAUGAGACCAUGGUCACUACCGUCAACAUUUACAGAUAUUGAGAGGAAAAUUGAGAAGGUAGGUAGUGUUGUAUUUUCGAUGGCAAAAGAUAAAGGAAAUGAAAUGGCCUCAACCUUGGCGAUAGCAGGUAUAAAUCAUGGAGACAUGUUUAAAGCUUGAUGGUGAAUAUUAGAUUUAAUCUCAAACGUCAAUUUUUAAUUAUAAAAAAUGUUACAUUAUGGGAUGCCGUAAAUUGAACUUUUGAAUACUGUUCUUGUUAUAUUUUCAACAUAUGAGUUCAAAUGAAGAAAAAUAAAUAAAUAAAUCCAGAAAAACCUCAAACAUUGAAAAGAAAAAUGAAACGAUAUAGCUUAAUUUUUAACUAUAGACCCAACCCAAGAUGCGAACACUUUUUUUUUUCCUUUCUCGAAAAUUGAAGUAAACAAACCUUAAAUGGUGGUGUCUGAUAAAAUUAAAAUUAUGAGUUUUUAUAUUACUGUUUGAGCAGGAGACUUUGUCCAUUUUCCAUCCUAUUCUGCUAGCAAUAUAUGGCUCAAAAUAGGAGGGGAAAAAUUGGAAAAACUACUUUUCUUGAUAGCUUAGCUAUAUAUUUCAGAUUUAAAAAAUACCUUUUUAUUUCAAAAGUAAAUUAUUUCUCUCAAAUAAAAUUGGAUUAACUGAAUCUCUAUUAAUUUUUAAAAUGAGCAACUAAGAAUAAUUAAUAAUGAUGUUAAUGUUUUUCGUCAAUUAUACAUUAUUUUGAUUAGUAUAAUAAUAAAUUUAGCCCUUGAUGUUUAUACGUGUUAUAUAAAUGUUGACAAAAUAUGUAAAUAUUCGAGCUAAAUUAUUAAAUCAAGACUGAAUUGAUAAUAUAUAUAAAUAAUAUUUGCUAAAUUAUUAAAUCAAGACCAAAUUAACAUAAUGUGUAAACUUUAAAAACUAAAAUUAUUAUAAUAUCAAUAAAAAUAUAUAAUUGAUGAUUAAUUAUCUUGCUCAUUUUCUAAAUUAACAGGAAUUAGACUAAUCUAAUAAAAAUAAAAAUUUACUCAGUAUCAAAAUUUUAAAAAUAAAAUCAUUGACACCAUGCUAGUCCCCAUAAAGCAAAGUCCUAAUCAAAAUUUCAACAUUGCUUGACCCUUAAAUAAAUACCUUAACAAAAUUUCUACAAUGUUAGGUUUCUUGUCAUGUCGGACUAAGAUUUUCUUUUCCCUAAUUCUAGGCCCCCGUCCCCACACAUUUAGACCUAAAAAUAUUUUCUACAAAGCCAAACCCCAGAGACCAAGUCCGAAUAAAAUUUCACAAUGCUAGGCCCCAUAUAACAUGAUCUAAUAAAAAUUUCCACACCAAUCUUUACGCAUACCUAAUAACGCAUUGAUUGCUACUUAUUAUAUAUAGCUAUGUAAAACUCUUUAAUCGAUAAUUUCGUGUUCAAUUUACAUAUACUAACAAUAUUUUAUGAUCCAAAUGUUGUAUUAAUAAAAGUUUCAAUUUUUUAUGAUUUAGAAUAACGUGUAUUAGUGCAUUAUGUUGACAUAUAAAAUUUGUUUUUUUUCUUAAUUUAACAUAUAAAUGCAAUGGUUUGAAAUGUGAACAUGAUUGCGUUGUUUGCUUGAAAUCUUAUAUAAACAUACGCUAUCCACUCCACUCUUGUUCUAUAUCAACCUUCCCAUUAUCAUCUCUAAGAGAAACCAUGAAAAGGUGGUUAAUACCAUCGUAUUUUGUGAUCUUUUCCCUCUUCUUUACCUAUAAUUCUUCUGCUCUAACAUUACCGUUUUGCCCUCAUGACCAAAGUGCUGCCUUAAUCCAAUUCAACAGCUCCUUUUCCAUUGAUUGUUCCGGUUUUAGGCAACCAUCUAUAUCCAGGGCUAAGACAAUCUCCUGGGAGGAAGGAACAAACUGUUGCUUGUGGGAUGGGGUUAAGUGUGAUACUGAAACAGGGAAUGUGAUUGCCCUUGAUCUUAGUUUCAGCUGCCUUUUUGGCCCUUUCCCCUCUAACAACACCCUCUUCCUACUCCGCCAUCUCCGUCAGCUUAACCUUGCCGGGAAUGAUUUCAGAUUCUCCCCAAUGGCAUCCCAGUUUGGUCAAUUGACUAGUUUGACCCAUCUAAACAUCUCCUGGUCCAGCUUUAUUGGUAAAGUUCCACCUGAAAUCUCUCGCCUUUCUAAACUAUUAUCCCUUGAUUUAUCCAUGUCUGGUUUGAUGUUUGAAGGGCAUGUCUUUGAAAAUAUGGUCGCAAACUUGACACAACUAAGACACCUUCUCCUCUCAGAAGUCAAUAUGUCUCAAGUUGUUCCUACUUCUUUCCUUAACAUGUCUUCUUACAUACAAACUCUUGUCCUCGAGAAUAAUUACGAACUGCACGGAAAGUUCCCUGAAGAUGUUUUCCGCUUUCCUUACUUACAAAAGUUCCGUGUUUCUAGUAAUUUUCUUGAACUCAAGUUCCCAAAGACUAAUUGGAGUGCUCCCCUCAAGUCACUGCAAGUAACGUUGUCAUAUUUGGAGGAACUGCCUGAUUCAAUUGGUGACCUUACAUCUCUGGAGAUAUUGGAUCUUCCUGUUAAUCAUUUAGGAGGGCCAAUUCCAGCAUCUCUUGGCAACCUCACACAACUAAAGUAUUUAGAUCUUUCCGAUAAUAACCUUAGUGGUGUUUUGCCAGUUUCUGCUUUUAACCUUAGACAAGUUCAAUUUGUAGAUUUUUCAGGAAACAAGUUGGCUGGUUCCUUUCCUUCUCAAGUAAGUGACCUUUCACAACUUAGUAUUCUAGACCUUGAUCGCAACUUUCUCAGUGGCAGGGUACCGUCCUGGUUGUUUUCUCUUCCAUCUUUAGUUUUGUUGAGGCUCAGUAAUAACAAGCUUACUGGUCCAAUUGACCAAUUUGACAAGGUUACUCCAUUGGAGGAGGCUUAUUUGCAGAACAAUGAGAUAGAGGGUCCAGUUCCUGGUUCUAUUGCCCUACUUGUGAACCUUAUUUAUCUUGAUCUUUCCUCCAAUAAGUUGAGUGGGAAUUUUGAGUUGGACAAACUAUCAAAGCUCAAAAAACUUGAGUCUCUUACUCUCUCAAAUAACGCUUUGCUAUCAUUUACCAGUGAAAGCAAGGCCAAUUACUCCUUGCCUAAUCUUUUGUCACUAAACCUCUCUUCUUGUGACGUCAUUGAUUUUCCAGAUUUUGUAAGGAAUCUAGAAGGUUUGAGAGAGUUAGACCUUUCGAACAAUCGAAUCCAUGUCAUUGAAGCAAAUAUGUUUGUGAAGCUUAAAGAACUUCAACGACUGGAUCUGUCACACAACAGCCUGCUAUCCCUGAGCAACAAUGGCAACCUUAGUCUUUUCUUGCCAAAUCUUGGUUACUUGUCAUUGGCAUCAUGUAAUCUAACUGUAUUUGCAAAUUUCUUGACAAUACAAGAGAGUUUGCGAGAGUUAUACCUUUCGAACAACAGCAUUCAAGGCCAAAUUACCAAACAAGAAAGAACUUGGGGAAGCAACCUAGUGAUUCUUGAUCUUUCUAACAAUUUGUUGACAGUUGUAGAAUAUUAUCCAUGGAGGAAUAUAAAAGUUCUUAGGCUUGACUCCAAUCUGCUAGAAGGGCCACUUCUAGUACCACCGCCUUCCACAUCUGUUUUCUCCAUCUCAAACAACAAAUUGACGGGUGAAGUUCCAUAUUCGAUUUGCGAAUUCGGCACAGAAAUUGAUGCAGCUCUCGACUUGUCUCAUAACAACUUGAGUGGAGUAAUUCCAAAAUGUGCAGGCUUGGCAAAUAUUGCUUACCUGGAUUUGCAUGCGAAUAAUUUUCAUGGAAACAUCCCUGAUUUUUGUGUUAAUGAAAACAAUAUGUUAAGUACACUUAAUCUCAACGACAAUGAUUUUGAUGGGCCAUUACCUAAAUCCUUGGCCAACUGUCUUCUUUUGGAAGUGUUGAUUCUUGGAAACAACAAGAUAAAUGACACAUUUCCCUAUUCGUUGGGAAAUCUUCCUUCGCUUCAAGUGCUUGUCUUGCGCUCCAACAAUUUCCAUGGUCAAGUAAUCAAUCCAGACAACCAAUCUUAUUUCUCAAAUCUGCGAAUCUUAGACCUCUCCCAUAAUAAUUUCUCUGGUUAUCUGCCAACAACUUUCUUCAAGAGUCUUGAAGGUAUGAUGGGUUUGGCCGAUGUUGAUAUGGCUUAUAUGGGAGAUCGUUUUCAAUAUUACACAGAUUCCAUGGUUCUCACAAUGAAAGGUGAGGACAUUGUGCUAGAGAGAAUUCUAACUAUUUUUGCAGCCAUCGAUAUGUCAAGCAACAAAUUCGAAGGAACAAUUCCAGAAACAGUUGGAAACCUUAUUUCUCUCCAGGUGCUCAACUUUUCUCACAACCACUUAACCGGUCAUAUUCCUUCCUCAUUGGGGAAUUUGGUAGCACUUGAGUCGCUAGAUCUUUCUUGCAACGAGCUUGUUGGGGAGAUUCCUUCGGAGUUGAAUGGUUUGAAUUUUCUUGAAGUGUUAAACCUGUCAGAGAACCAGCUCGUUGGGCUCAUACCUCGGGGAAAACAAUUCAACACCUUUCUCAACGAUUCCUACGCAGGCAAUAUAGGACUGUGUGGGUUUCCCGUUUCAAAAAGCUGCGGCCGUAGUGAACCACCACCAGCAAUUUUUGAUGAAGAGGAAGUUGAUUCUGCAUUUGGAUUGGAUUGGAAAUUUGUAAUGAUGGGUUAUGGGUGUGGAUUGGUUUUUGGAUUUUCAGCUGGUUACAUCAUGAUGACAAUUCGGAAACCAAAAUGGCUUGUUGGGAUGAUUCAACGCGCAGGCAACAGAGUUCUUAGGAGAUUCAAGAAAUAUCGUUGAGGAAGAUAGAAUUUGUGAAGACAGAUGUUUGCUCAUCGGUGGCUGCUUGAACACCUUUUCUGUGGAAUCUCUCUCGCCAUGAUUUUCUUUUUGUUACUGUUAUUGCUCCCAAUAUAGAGUCAUUUGUAGUUUUGUCCAUGUCUUACGUACUUCUGAGUUUUAAUAAAUUUGAUGAAAUAAUUCUUUAUCUAAAUUAAAAACAGCAUUGAAUUUUUUUUUUGCUGAAUACUUACUUGAAUUUUGAAUAAAUAAAAAUUAAAUUGAAUUUUUAGUUAAUCGAAUUGAAUUAUUUGAGUCAAUUCGAAUAAGUAAUUCGAGAUUCGAGUUGAAUUUUACAAUUCGAGUAACUCAAUGAUUCAAAUAAUAAAUUGGUGUAAAUAUCAUUUUGGUCCCUAUCAAAUUUGAAAAUGAGCAAAUUGAUCUCUCUCAACAAAAAUUAUAAAAAAGAUUAAAAAAAAUUUAGAAUUCAAAAUUUUAUAUUUUUAAAAUUUCUAAAAAAAAUUCUAAAAAUAUAUAUAAAGAAAGUUAAAUAUUUUAAAAAAAAUAGAAUAAUAAUUUUGGACUUAAAUAAGUUAAUUAAUUAUUUAAGUUUGUCAUAUUAAAGUAUUUUUUAUUAUUUUGUUUUUGAAAAAGUUUUCAAAUAUAUAUGGUUUAAAAUUUAUGUGCUAUAAUAUGGAAUUAGUUAUACUGUAACAAUAUUUUACUUUGACAUAUUUAAUUUUUUAAUUUAACUCUAAUAAUUUCACUCAAUUCAAUUCGACUCGACACAAAUUUCUUUUCACUUGACUCGAUUCGAGAAAAAUUAAAAUAGGAAUUGUCAACUCAAUUAACUCAAAAAAAUUUCACUCGAUUUGAUCGAACGCUCACCCCUAGUUGCCCCUUUCCUUGCAUGCCACACAUCAUCAUUCGGAAAAUAUUUUCCCUUCAAAACCCUCACCCACAGAGCUUGUUGAUGAUUGAUCAUCCUCCACCUUUGCUUUGCUAAAAGUGCAACAUUAAACAUGUUUAAAUCUCUAGAUCCCAAACCCCCUGCACUCUUACUAUGUCAUUUUAAACCAACUCAUCCAAUGAACCUCUCUCCUCUUAGUUUCUCCACCAAAAAGUUGUCAUUUUAGUAUUAAUCUCAUCACAAAUCUUCUUGGGAAAUUUAAAACACGACAUUGUGUAAGUCAUAAUAGUGCAAGCAAUAGCUUUUAGCAUAAUUUCCUUACCCCUUGGCUUAACAUCUUCAGUUUCCAUCCUUUAUUUUUUAUUUUAUUUUAUUUUUUGCAAAAUUCCUUCUUUGACAAAGCCCAUAGCUUGCCUCUUUGUUUUGCCCUCAAAAGUAGGAAUUCCUAGGUAUGAUCCUACAUUAUCAGCUACUGCAAUCUGUAGCUCUUGACUCAUAUUCACUCUUUGUUACUGUGGCACAUUUGCACUAAAAAAGAUACUCGACUUGCUGAAGUUAAAAAGCUGACCUGAUGCUGCACGAUGGCCAGCUAUGCAGUAGCUAAAACUUUGAUGCAUGAUUUUGACCAGUUGAUAGCUGGUUUCUUACUUGGUUCCUUUGUAACUUAUUUUUUGUUAAGCUUUGAAUGUAUUGAUGUUUAGGUGUUGAUUAAGCUGAUUAGUCAGCUUAUCCAAGUGUGCAGCUCAUGUUUUGCAAGUUUCAAGUUUAGUUAGUGGUAGUAGUUAGUGUUUGGUAAGUUGGUUGACUUGAAACCUUGUAAUGCUUUGUUGAUUGUAAUGAAAAUUUUGUUUUUCAUUUCUUUGCUACUCACUUUGGUCUUCUUUGCGAAAACACCAAUAACUUGUAUCAAGAGUAUGUUGUCUUUAAGGGCCAUUUUUUUGUUUUUUGUUUUUCGUUUCUUGCUGAAAAAGAUAAAAGUUGUUUUGUUUCUUGUUGUUGUAAAACAUGUCUUCAACAAACUUCUGACCACCUUCACUACCUAUUUUUGCUUGAGAGAACUACUACAUUUGGGUAGUGAAGAUGAAGACCUACCUCCAGAUUUAGGAGCCACCACCCUUGAGAGCAAAUCCCACCGUUUCUUAGAUAAGGAAACACAAUGAUGAUUGUGCCAAGAAAUACAAAGCAAUGUCUUGUCUAUAGAAUGGUGUUUCAAAUGUUAUUUUCAUCAGGAUCUUGACUUAUGAAAUUCCCAAACAAGCGUGGGACAAGCUGAAGGGGGAGUUCCAAGGCUCAAAAGACAAGACAACAACACCUCAUCAAUCUGAAGAAGGAUUUUGAAAAAUUGAAGAUAAAAGAGGCUGAGACAGUUAAGCAAUACUCAAAUAGGAUUAUGGCAAUGGUUAAUAGCAUCAGGUUACUUGGAGACCAACUCAAUGAUAGCAAGAUUGUUGAUAAGGUUAUCACAACACUUCUUGAAAGGCAUGAGUCCAAAUUUUCCUCUAUGAAAGACUCAAGGGACUUGUCAAGAAUUUACUUGUUUGAGUUGAUAAAUGUUCUCUAUGCUUAAGAGCAUAGAAGAGCAAGUAGACAGAAGAAGCAUUCUAGGCCAAAAGCAAGGAAGGCUUGAGUUCCUCAAGCUAUAAGGGAAAGAAGAGCUGGAAUGAAAAGAAAGAAAAGCCAAAAAGAGAUGUUGAAAGGAAGAAGUAUCCUGUAACACCCUAUACCCAAUCCAAUCACCGAGUGUAGGUACCAAAUGUCACAAUGACCCAUGUUAACUAUUAACAUUCCUAACCUAAAGCGUUUAUUUAAUUUGAAGAUAUGAAAUUUUUAAAAUCUGACAUUUACUAUAUCCUAUAAGUAUGACAAUAUUACAAACUUGUCACCUUAAGAGAGACCAACCCACAUUUUCACAUUCUAAAAUUUGGUGCUUUAAAACAAACACAUCAUCUAAGUCUCCAAGGUGUGAUCUCUAAAGGAGUUCCUCUAUAUACAUGGAACGGUUUACGCGUCCAACUCUCAAUUCUGGUGGUGUCUAGCUUGUUCCCUCCACUCUAGCCCAGAGUCAAAUCAUUAUCCUACACCCAAGGCAACAAAUUCAUAAGUCCAAAAGAACUUAGUGAGGUUCCAUGAUUUUGUACAACAAAAUAUCUUAUUAUUAUUUUUGAAAUGAGGUAGAAGCAAAGAAAAAUUCAAACUCCCUAUUUGUCCAUGGGAUUUCCACUGAUUAUUCCAGCACGAUUAUCGCCUUGCCCUUUUCUUAAUACCUUUACCUUUUUUAUUAAAGAUUGGAAUAGAAAUGUUUAUGGAUUCUUAAGUUUUUGUAAGAGGUAUCUCAUGAGGAAGCUUUCCAAGGUCCAAGUGAAGUUAAAGCGCUCUGAUUCUAUUCAUCUAGUUCAUCAAGAAUUGGAGAUUCGAAACAAGUUGGAAAACAUGUUUAAUCAUAAGGAGUUAUUGUAGAGACAAAAGGUGAUGUGUGAUUGGUUGCAUUUAGGUGACAGAAAUAUGAAAUUCUUUCAUAGUCAUUCACUUUAGAGGAGAAAGUUUAAUCGUAUCAUGGCCUUGCGUCUUGAUAAUGGUGAGUGAUGUUCUGAUCAAAGUAGACUUCAAACUGAGGUUGCGGGAUUCUUUGAAAGAUUAUAUGGUGAAACUCUGGAGUUGAUGAGGGAUCUUCUGAUGGAUAUCUUUCCACGUCUUAAUUUAUCUUAUAUUACUUACUUGGAAGAGCCAGUAACUAAUGAUGAGAUUAAAAGGGCUUUAUUUGAAAUGGAUCUAAUGAAAACCUUAGGAAGUGAUAAUUUCCAUGCACUUCUUUUCCAGAGCCAGUGGGAUAUUGUUGGCAGUGUUGUUUGUGAGUGGGUACAAGGUAUUUUUGCAGGGAAUCCUAUUGAUUCAAAUUUGAAUAACACAUUGAUCGUUCUUAUCCCAAAAAAAUAGAUUUUCUUGAGAACUUUAAUCAAUUUCAUCCAAUCAGUCUUUGCUCUGUCUUGUAUAACUGGUGAUGAAAGUGAUUGCAAAUCGAUUUAAGUUGGUUUUUCCCAACUUUAUUUCAUAGGAACAAGGUGGUUUCAUUGUUGGGCACAAUAUCUCAAAUAAUAUUAUUAUAGAGCAAGAAGUCAUUCACACCAUGAGAAGGAAACGUAAUGGGAAGAAUUGGAUGGCUAUUAAGUUCGAUUUAGAAAAGACGUAUGACAGAGUAAAUUGGGAAUUUAUUGAUGUAUCUUUACAAGUUGUCGGGAUACUUGAUUUACUUCUAAAAGUGAUCAUGUCAUCCAUUUCUUCUUUGACCAUGCAGAUUCUUUGGAAUGGAGUUUGUACAGCCCAAUUUUGCCCCAAUCCCACUACCCAAAAUUUGACCCGGGCCCAUACCAGCAAAACCCUCUACCCAAUACAACCCAAAAAACCCCACCUAAACCUACCCAACUCAAUUAAACCAAAUACAGCCCAACAAAUUUAACCCAGCAGCCCAAAGGUGAGGCCCAAUGCCUAGGUCCAAUUCCCCCCAAAAAAAAUCUGUCUAGGGUUUCAGAGACUGAAACCCUAGGCACCGCAUCUGCUGACUUUAGGGCUUCUGUCGCCGCCGCCGGACGUCCCAUCCGCACCAACUCCACCGCCACUGUCCCAUCGUCCCACUUGCGCCAUUACCUGCAAAUAAAGAAACAAGCAAGAAACAGUAGCAAACAAGACAACAAAAGCAGUAGCAUUCGGCUAUAAAAGCCGAAGAAAAUGUAUUUUGAGUCUCUGGGCUUCCGAUCUUUGGUAACUAAAGAAACAAAUAUUAGCAAAAAGAAAUAAAAACAACAAAAUUUGAAGGUGAUUUGCGAUUCUCCUGUUUUAGAUUUUUUUUUUCAUUUUUUCUCUACAUCUACAAACAAAGAAACAGUAAAAAAGAAAAUGAAACGGUACCUAAGUCGCUUCGCUUGCACCGUCGCCGGAGUCCGUCUUCGGGUCUCCGAAAUCGGACCAGGAAAGUGACGUUCGAGGUUUUGCUCCACGGUCCCAAGGCUAUGAAGAUUCGGCCUUUAAUCGGCCCCCUGAAACGGUUUUAAAAAAACGACCGUCAGGUGCCUCCGACCACCGCGCAUGGCGGGAUCGACGGUGGCCCGUUCGGCCAAGGGAAAAGGGGGUUGAGGGGUUUCUUCUCUUCUUUUUUUUUUUGAUUUUUUUAGCAGUGAAAGAAUGAAAUUUUUUUUAAAAAAAAUUGUUUUAAAUAGGAGUUAUGAAACGGCGUCGUUUAAGACCCGCGCGGUGACCCGACCCGAGGGGAGGAUCCGCGUGUUUUCGCUUAGGAGGAUAUUUACGCGCGCAGUCCCUCAUAUUUUUCAGCGUAUUACAAUUUGGUCCUAUUUUGUUGUUUUCUUUUAUUUUGAUUUAGCCCUAAGAUUUUACUUUUGUUUCAUUUUAGUCCAUUGAGGUGCUGCGUUUUAGAACUUUGGGUUUAUUUUCUGUUUCGGUCCUUCCCUUUUUACGCGCGUCGCAAUUGGAUCCUUUUCGUUUUCCUUUAUUUCGAAUUGGCCCUAUAUUUUUUAUUUCAUUUCGAUUUAAUCCCUUUUUUAGCAUCUUUAGUCAAUUUUUGUUAACUAUUAUUUUAAUGUUACCAUUAUUAUUAUUAUUAUUAUUAUUAUUAUUAUUAUUAUUAUCAUCUUUAUUUUUAUUAUUAUUAUUAUUAUUAAUAUCAAUAUUAUUAUUAUUAUCAUUAUAUUUCCAUUUAUAUUUACUUAUGUCAUCUCUAAAUAUAUGUGCCAUGUUAUAUUAUAUUAUUAUUAUAUAAGUGCUUAUAUAUAUAUAUAUAUAUAUUUCAUAUAUAAUUUAUUUAAUAUAUAUAUAAAUACUUUUUUUAUAUAUAUGCAUAUUUAUGUACGUAUAUCUAUGUACCUUUUUUUUCUUCUCAUGAAUAUAUGUAUACAUACUUAUAUAUAUGUAUUUUACUUAAUUAUUUUAAAAUACUCAUAUGUACAUACAUUUUUUUUUAUAUUUUAUAAUUUUCAUAUUUAUUUUCUUUUAUUUUUAUGUUCAUUUAUGUACUUAUUUAUAUGUUUAUUUUUAUGCUUUAGUUUAUUUAUUUGUUUAUUUGCUAUAGUAUAUGCAUGAUUGAUUUAUUAUUCGUUUUUGUUCAUUUUUAUUUAUAUAAUCAUGUUUAUUAUUCCAUCAUGCAUAUAAAUAUCAUAUUUCAAAAAAAAAGAAAAUAUUUCUAAUUGAGGCAAUAUUUAGCAUUUGGAAAUUCGAGAAAACGUGCCCUAAGGUGCUGGGUGUCGAUUUUUCUCGUUCAACCAAAUAGCUAAAUAUCCUUUCAAAAAUUUUAAAAUAAGGCAAUGUUUUGCGUUUGGAAAUUCGAGGAAACAUGCCCUAAGGUGCUGGGUGUCGAUUUUUCUCAUUCAACCAAAUGGCUUAAUACCUUUUUAAAACUUUUCAAAUAAGGCAAUGUUUUGCGUUUGGGAAAUUCGAGAGAACGUGCCCUAAGAUGCUGGGUGUCGAUUUUUCUCGUUCAACCAAAUGGCUUAAUAUCCUUUUAAAAAUUUUGAAAUAAGGCAAUGUUUUGCAUUUGGGAAAUUCGAGAAAACGUGCCCUAAGGUACUGGGUGUCGAUUUUUCUCAUUUAACCGAAUAGCCAAAUAUCCUCUUGAAUUUCAAUCCAUAUCAUCCGAGUUUUUUUUUAGGAUCAUAUUUUUAACUUCAUUAAAGUUUUCAAUUUUUCGACACUAAGACAUUAAGUAAUCAACUAGGUACCAAUUUUGGGCGUAUCGAGGGUGCUAAUCCUUCCUCGUGCGUAACUGAUUCCCGAACUCGUUUUUCUGAAUUUCGUGGACCAAACUUGUUGUUUUAAUAAAAUCAAAUCAUUUAUUAAAAACAACCACUUUUCAAGGUGACCCGAUCACACAUUAUCAAAAAGGAUUGGUGGCGACUCCCAUUUUCGUUUUCAUUUUCAAAAAACCCAAGUCGACCCCGUUUUCCAUCCAAAAAAUAGUGUCAACAGAAUUCCUACUCGAAAGUUUAAACCGGUAAGGGGGAUUCGUCAGGGUUGUCCACUUUCUCUAUACCUGUUUGUUCUGUGCAUGAAAUGGCUAGGGCAUAUUAUUUGUUCAAAAUUUAACGAGGGUAGGUGGAAGCCAAUUCAACUUUCGAGAUCGGGGCCAAUUCUUUGCCAAUUGUUUUUUGCUGACGACUUGGUCAUCUUUUGUAAAGUAGAUCUUGAUCAAGUUUGUUUAUUGGAGAGAGUUCUGAAUCAUUUCUAUAAGCUUUCUAGGCACAAGGUCAGUGACAGGAAAAGCAGUAUUUUGUUUUCCAUAGAGUUUGAAAAUAAUAUGAGCAAUCAAAUUAGCUCUAUGCUCCAUUUUCAAGAAAUUCAGAACCUUGGUACCUACUUAGGGGUACCUCGCUUACAUGAUAGGGUUACUAAAGGUACCCUAAGCUAUAUGGUUGAUAAAGUAAGGCGCAAGUUUCAAAAUUGGGAUGCAAGGAAGUUAUUCAUAGCUGGAAGAAUAACUCUAGCCCAAUCUGUUUUACUCUCUAUUUCGAAUUAUUUCAUGCAGUCUAUAUUGAGACUGGAAGGAAUUUAUGAUGAGAUUGAUAUAUUGGCAAGGCAAUUCAUUUGGGGGAGCUCUAACGGUCAUCCAAAAAUGUCUUUAGUAGGGUGGGAUUCCAUCUGUCAGCCUAAUUCUCGAGGUGCCCUUGGUUUCUGUCACUUGCAAGAUCAAAAUAUAUCGUUUAUUAUGAAGAUUAUGUUUAAUCUAGUCUCCAAAGAUAAUGUCUUGUAGGUUUGUGUCCUUUGUUCGAAAUAUGGUUGGAAAGAGCAAAUACCAAAAUCAAUUGCUAGGAGUCCAUGUUCACAGUUAUGGCAAGCCUUCUAUAAGGUUUGGACUCUCUUCUGUGAGAACUUAGUUUGGUCUAUUGGUGGUGGUACUAAUAUUUGAUGCUGGAAAGCUUCAUGGAUUCCUAUUAUUGGUCCCUUAAGUUCCCAUAUUCCCUUUUAUGCUAACCUUGACAUGGAAUGUUCUCUCAAGGAUUUGGUCACGCUAGAUGGUACUUGGAAUUUGGAUAUGUUUUGUAUUUGGUUGUCUGAUGAAGUGAUUAAUCGUAUUAUCAGUAUUCCCCCAUUCAUCUUGAUUCGGGUUCGAAUAGAGUGAUUUGGGCUUGUUCGGCCUCAAGCUCCUUCUCUGUUCUGAAUGCAUAUUGGUCGUUUAAAGAAGAAACUUGGAACCCCAUAGAGAAAUUCUUGAAGAGCACUUGGAAGUAUUAGGGACCUCAAAUAGUGAGAUUUUUCCUUUAGUUGGCAUCUAAGCAGAGACUUCUACUGAAUUCGGAUUGUACCCAGUAAGGAAUUGGUUUUAUCAACUCUUGUCCUAUAUGUGGGCAUGGUUUAGAGGAUAUUAUUCAUGUUCUUCGGGAUUGUCCGACAGCUAAGGAUGUGUAGAUGCAUGUGAUUCCAAUAGAGCUUCAAUAAAGGUUCUUUUUUAUGACUUUCAGGUUUGGUUUUCUUCUAAUCUGUGUUGUAAUUUGAGUUUGCAGGGUCGUGGAGUUACUUGGUCAUCCCUUUUUGGAUUAAUAGCUUGGCACAUUUGGAAGAAUAGAAACCUUUUCAUAUUCCAAAACAUUACAUAGUCAGCAACUGAAGUUGUUAAAGCCUCCAUUACCUGGGCUCAAUUCGAAUUUCAUCAAAAUGGAUACAAGAGCAAUACUUUGAUGCGAAGCCAUAAUCUUCAUACCAAUAAGAUGUGGGUUCACUUAUUCAUGAAUGGCGCAAUUGCAAGGGAGACAGGAAACAUUGUUGCUUGAGGUAUGCUGCGGGAUCAAUUUGGAAAUUGGAUUCUCGGCUUCAAUCGAUACUUGGGAAAAUGUUCACCUUUUAAGGAGGAACUUUGGGGCAUCUUGGAUGGGCUCCUUGUUAUGCUUAAUAAAGGAUAUAGAUAAACGAGUAAUAAUUCAGACCGAUAAUCUUGAUGUGGUCCAAGCUUUAUCCAAUAUUGAACUAGAGGAAUCAUGCAUCACCUUGUUUAGAAGGCUCCAUAAAACUAUGAGAUCUGAAAGGCAUGGCAAAUUAGAUAUGUGCCUAGAGAACACAACAUUGUCGCGAACCGGCUGGCCAAACUUAACCUAAAGUGGAAAUUGAGUUUACAAGUUUUUAAUGUGGCCCUAAAAGAAGUCCUUGCGGUCUUACAACAGGAUAAACUGAGUAGUACUUUUAAGCAUUUGAAUUAAUGUAAUUUAUCAUUUAUUUUCACAAAGAAAGAUUACAAGUAAAAAAUUAUUAAAGGUAAAAUCAUUUGCUUUCAUUGAGGUUACUGAAGCAAAAUCUAUAUCAUAAAUAUAUGAUAAACUUAAAAGAAUCGAAAAAAACUAAGACAUAAUUUAUACAUACGAUUGAAAACUCACCCCUCACAAUUAUAGUCUCAUUAGCUUGGUUUCCGCAAAUCAAUCCACAAUUAUUUGAUUUGUGCCUCGUCGUUAAUUAAUGUUAAGAAUCUGACGUACACGCUAGGGUGAAAAAUUGUAAUUCUUCAUCAAUUUCAGUCAGUCCUUUCUUUGCGGGUAACAUCAUCUGCUUGAUUUAUAGAAAAAAUAGGAGGCAAUUGAUGUUGAAAUGAAUUUUGAUUAACUUGACUUUCAACUUUUUUUUUUAUUAGUCUAAAUACGGACCAGGUCUGAUGUUGCAAAUUAAAGUUAUUGCUACGUUUUAUGUAAUACACAUGAUAACGAGUAUUAGUCAAUUUAAAAGUAAAAAACAAAAAUAAAAAAUUGAGUCUCGUUUACAAAGGAAGAACAAGCAUGUAACUUGAUGCAAUUAAUUUAGACCGGAGAAGAAACUUUAUGCUGUCUGCUGUUCGGCGUAAAUUUGUGGUGUCUCAUCAAUUUAUUAUUGUUUUAUAAGGUUAUUUUGCACUUUUUUUUUCAAAGAGGGGAGUAAAAUAAAUCUCACAUUUGACAUUAAUUAUCCUAUUUUACUUGCAAUACAAAACAUGAAAGGGGGGGACGCAAGAAGAAAACUUGUUUUCUUGACAGCUAUAAUAUUUCCAUAAACUCGGACCAUAGUCUUCAUUGCUGAAUUUUCGACACCAUUCAGAUGAAGACUUUAUAAUAAAUUUUCACAAUACUACAGCCCUCAGAUUAAGACUUAAUAAUAAUUUCCACAAUGAAAUGUAAACAUGAUUGGCGCAAUUUUCUUGGAAUCUUAUAUAAAUAUAAGCUCCCCACUCCACUUAUUUUCACUCAGCCUUCUCAUUUUACAAUAUCCAUUUGCUUGAUUUUAUUGUCUAUAUCUGAGAGAAACAUGAAAGGGUGGUUACUACUGUUGUAUUUUCUGCUAUUUUUCCUCUUCAUUACAUGUAAUUCUUCUACUCUACCAUUAUCGUCGUGCCCUCAUGACCAAAGUUUUGCCUUGACCCAGUUCAGCAACUCCUUUUCCAUUGAUUGCCCCUUUUUUAACCCAUGGUGUACUGUAUCGAGGGCUAAGACAAUCUCCUGGAAGGAAGGAACAGACUGUUGUUUGUGGGAUGGGGUUAAGUGUGAUACUGAAACAAGGAAUGUGAUUGCCCUUGAUCUUAGUUGCAGCUGCCUUGUUGGCCCUUUCCCUUCUAAUAGCACCCUCUUCCUCCUCCGCCAUCUCCGUCAGCUUAACCUCGCCGGGAAUGAUUUCAGAUUCUCCCCAAUGGCAUCCCAGUUUGGUCGAUUGACUAAUUUGACCCAUCUAAACAUCUAUGGGUCACUUUUUCAAGGUAAUAUCCCCCUAGAAAUCUCACACCUUUCCAAACUGUUGUCCCUCAAUCUUUCCAAAAAUUAUGAGUUGAUCUUUGAAGGACAUGUCUUCGAAGUGUCGUGAAAAACUUGACACAACUAAGACACCUUCUUCUCACAGGUGUCAAUAUGUCUUCAGUUGUACCUACCUCUUUCCGUAACAUGUCUUCUUACAUAACAACUCUUAUCCUUGAGGAGAAUGGACUUCAAGGAAAGUUCCCCGAAGAUGUUUUCGGCUUUCCAUACCUGCAGAAGUUCCACUUUGCAAUAUUUCUUCUAGAAUCCGGGCAGGAACAGGAACUAGAACUCAAGUUCCCAAAGACAAAUUGGAGUGGUCCCCUCAAGUCAUUGCAAGUUUCAUCUCCAUAUUUGCAGGAACUACCUGAUUCAAUUGGCAAUCUUAGAUCUUUGGAGAUAUUGGAUCUUUCCCAUAGCAAUUUAAGAUGGCCAACUCCAGUAUCUCUCGGCAACCUCACUCAACUUGAGUAUCUAGAUCUUUCCCAUAAUAACCUUAGUGGUCCUAUUCCAUGGUCAGUUUUCAACCUCACUCAAGUUCAGUUUCUAGAUUUUUCAAAAAACAAGUUGGAGGGUUCCCUUCCUUCUCAAGUGAGUGGGCUUUCACAGCUUAGUAUUCUACUCUUUGAUCACAACUUUCUCAGUGGCAGGGUACCGACCUGGUUGUUCUCUCUUCCUUCUUUAGUUAAGUUAAGGCUCAAUAACAACAAGCUGAAUGGCAACUUUGAAUUGGACAAACUAUCAGAGCGCAGCAAACUUGAGCAGCUCUCUCUCUCAGAUAAUGCUUUGUCAUCAUUUACCAAUGCAAGCAAUGCCAAUUACUCGUUGCCUAAUCUUGUAAGUUUAGAUCUCUCUUCUUGCAGCAUAAGUGAAUUUCCAAAUUUUGUUAGAAAUCUAGAAGGUUUAACCUAUCUAGACCUUUCUAACAAUAGAAUUCAUGUCCUCGAGGAAGAUAUGUUUCUAAAGCUCAAAAGCCUUAAAACUUUGGAUCUACACAACAGUCCGCUGUCUGUGAGUGACAAUAGCAACCUGAGUGUUGUGUUACCCCAUCUUGAUACGUUGUGGUUGUCUUCUUGUAAUAUAACUGAGUUUUCAAAUUUCUUGACAAUGCAAGAGAGUUUGACUUAUUUAGAUAUUUCAAACAACAGCAUUCAAGGUCAAAUUACCCAAAAAGAAAACAAUUGGAAAAGCUACUUACAAUAUCUUGAUCUUUCUAACAAUUUUUUGACAGCUUUAAAAUAUUAUCCAUGGAAGAAUAUAAGAUUUCUUAAGCUUGGGUCCAACCUGCUAGAAGGGCCACUUCUAGUACCACCAAUUUCAACGACUGUUUUCUCAAUUUCAAAGAACAGAUUGAAUGGAGAAAUUCCAUCUUCGAUAUGCAAUUUGGUUGAUUCGGAGUUCGGUGUACUUCUAGACUUGGCCCAUAACAACUUGAGUGGAGCAAUCCCAAAAUGUCUGGGCUUGAGAAAUAUUUUCAUUUUGGAUUUACAGAUGAAUAGGUUUCAUGGGAACAUCCCUGAUUUUUGUGUUGAGGAAAACCACAGGUUACAAACACUUAACCUCAACAACAAUGAUUUUGAUGGGUCAUUACCUAAAUCCUUGGCGAAUUGUGUUGAUCUAGAAGUGCUGAAUCUUGGAAACAACAAGAUAAAUGACAUAUUUCCCCACUGGUUGGGAAAUCUUCCUCGGCUACAAGUUCUUGCGUUGCGCUCCAACUAUUUCCAUGGUCAAAUAACACAUUUUGAAAAUGAGUCGCAUUUCUCGACUUUGCGAAUCUUAGACAUCUCGCAUAAUAAGUUCUCUGGUUUAAUGCCAACAACAUACUUCACAAGUUUCCAAGGUAUGAUGAGUUUGGCUGAUGUUCAAAUGGGAUAUAUAGGAGCUGAAGAUACUUAUUACCGCGUUUCCGUGGCUGUCACAAUGAAAGGUGUGGACAUUGAGCUUGAGAAAAUUCUAACUGUUUUUGCAGCCAUCGAUAUGUCAAGCAACAAAUUCGAAGGAACAAUUCCAGCAACAGUUGGAAACCUUCUUUCUCUCCAGGUGCUCAACUUUUCUCACAACCACUUAACCGGUCAUAUUCCUUCCUCAUUGGGGAAUUUGGUAGCACUUGAGUCGCUAGAUCUUUCUUGCAACGAGCUUGUUGGGGGGAUUCCUUCGGAGUUGACUGGUUUGAAUUUUCUUGAAGUGUUAAACCUGUCAGAGAACCAGCUCGUUGGGCUCAUACCUCAGGGAAAACAAUUCAACACCUUUCUCAACGAUUCCUACGCUGGCAAUAUAGGACUGUGUGGGUUUCCCGUUUCAAAAAGCUGCGGCCGUAGUGAACCACCACCAGCAAUUUUUGAUGAAGAGGAAGUUGAUUCUGCAUUUGGAUUGGAUUGGAAAUUUGUAAUGAUGGGUUAUGGAUGUGGAAUGGCUUUUGGGUUUUCAGCUGGCUACAUCAUGAUGACAAUUCGUAAACCAAAAUGGCUUGUUGGGAUGGUUCAACGAGUCGGCAACAAAAUUCCGAAGAGAUUCAAGAAAUAUCGUUGAGGAAGACGGAAUUUGUGAAGACAGAUGUUUGCUCAUCAGUGGCUGCUUGAACAGAGUUUCUCUUAUUUUAAUUUUAAGAUGUAAAAAAAAGUUAUCGGCAAAUAAAUCUAGAAGAUAUAAUGAAAUUUAAUAAUUAUCUAUAUUUUGUACUAAUGAAAAUAGUUGAUUAAGCAUUAAGCGGAACAUAACAAUCAUAUUAAUUUUUAUAACAAAUUUCUUCAGUAAUUUUUUUCUAAAACAAAUUAAUAAUAUAAGAAUAGAAAGAAAUUUUGUUUCUAUAUGUUUGGGUGUCAUAAAAAUAGAUAGUGAUAUAUUUAACAAUAAACAUAAUUAAUCAAUGAAUAUCUAUUUAAAUAAUUAUAAUUAUUUGUUAAUAAUCAAAUGACAUUAUUUUUGAAUUAAAGAGACAUAAUACAUUAUUAUGAAUAAUGGCAACUUUUAAUUAAUAACCAAAUAACUUAUAAUUUUUCAUUUAUAACUAUUAAAACGCUAUAUAUUUUAAAAUUAUUUUAACAUAUAUGACAAAAUUUAUAAUUAAAUAGUAAAUUGGAAAUUCUUACGGUUCCAUGGUCUGUCUCUCAGCUAGUUUCUAUCAUUUCCUCAAUCCAAUCAAAGGAACCAUAAUUUUCUUUUAAUUUGGAUCACUUUGAUUUGAAAUUUUAAUAGCGGAAUUUUAUCAUAGGCAAAUUUAAUGUCUAGAUUUUUCCCAAAUUAUUAUGCCUUAAGUCUCUACCUCUUUUCGAAAUUAAUUUUUUUUUUUGUGAAAAUUGAGUUGGUAUAAGGUUUGAUAUUUAAGAUUAUUUGUUGAAAAAAAGGGGUAAAUUUAGUCGCGAAUUUAAAUGAAGGCAAAGAGGUUCCAAGGUGAAAAAGAUGAAACAGAACAAAUGCUUGCAAUGCAUAAAUCAAGUAAUUAUGUUAUUUAUUUGCAGAAGAAUGAGAUAGAGGGUCCAAUUGCCCCACUGCUCAACCUUUUUCAUCUUCAUCUUUCCUCCAAUAAGUUGAGUGAAAUGGACAAAACUAUCAAAACUUACUACCUUCUUAAUAAAUUCAAUUUUGAUUUAUUCUUGCUCCAGAAAACAAAAAAAUUAAAUAAUAAGCUCAGCAAACGCUGAAUUAAGUUUGAAAAUUAAUUAUUUAACUGCUAAAAUUCAAAUCAAUUCAUUUAUUAUAUAAUUAUUUUCACUCAUUUAAACUUUAUCUCUUUUAACUAUGGUUUGGUGUUGCAACCAUGCCUUUCUCCUACAUCUUUUUAAUAACUAGUCAUUGAGGAUAUGUUUGUUUUAGCUUCCUCUUAUUGUUAGUUUUCGGGGUGUUUGGUAAUCAGAGUUUUGGGACUUUUUUAGUUGAUUUGGGCACAAAUGGAUGAUUGAAUAGUCAAACUCUCUAAUUGUAAUGUUUAGUGAAUAAAGGUUUGUAAGAGCUUGCUGAGUUAAAACCUCCAAAACAAAAAAUGCAAAGAUGGGCAACGUUUUUCACAACUAAUAAUUGGGAAUGAGAUAUGUGUGGAAUAACACAUCUGACGAUACUUACUCAAAAGUUACUCCCUUUUGCCACAUGCUCUCAAAUCUAAUAGGGGUGCCAAGAUAUCUAAUACCCUCCAUUCUCCCAUUUUUACUUUCAUGUCCAAAGUCCGAAAUAAAUCUCAAAAAAGAAAAUAAACUUCACCAUGGAUCUACAAUAAUCAACUAUGGAGAUUCAUUUGCAAGAUUCAUUUUCUAUGCUUUUACAUAACUACAUCAGAUUAAAGUAAAGUUUUUGACCCAAUAUUUAGGGUCAUAAAUGUAGAUCUAAAUUUUAUUCUUCCCAAAGCAUUUUCGGAUGCUAAAUGCAAUUUCACUCAAGAAAUUGAGCGUGCGAGUACAAAUGAAAUGAAAAAAAGUUCAAUUCUCAAUAAAUAUUCAAAAUUUCAUCUUAGAUCGGUUUAGUUCAAUUCUGACAACAUUUUCAUUUUCUAUAAAAAGAAGAUAGAAAUCAUUUAUUUUAAUUUUGAUUUUACAAAGAUAUUUAAAAAGAAUCAAAAUACUUUUUAAAUGUUGCAAUUAACAACAGUUACAAUUCUAAUUAAGUUUAAUUUGGAGAAAAAAUCAAAUGUAAGUAAGUCUAAUAUGGUUCGAGCUUCCUUGACUUAAAUUGCAAUUAGCUUCGGUGUACUUUCUUACAAAGACUAAAUGUAGCCCUGAAUUUAAUCCAUAAUAGGAUGCGUGAGUGUGACAAAUGAAAAUUUCAACCCUUUCCACAAGCAUUGAUCUAUCUCUCAACCAGUUCUCAUGGAAAAUUGGAAGCCAAACUUAGUUAUUGUCGGUUAAUAGAAAAGGAUGCAAUUAACAAAAUAUUUUUUAUUAACUUGACUUCGAUGUUUUUUAGUGUAAAUAGAGAGUAGAUUUGAAGUUUUUGUUACGUAUCUGUAAUACACAUGAAAACAAGUUUUUGAAACUAGCAAAGUUGGUUUAGGGUAUUUUUCAGAUUAUUUUGAUUUAAAUCUUAUAUUUUGUAGAUUUUUUUUUAAAAAUUUAUUUUGAUCUAAGUCCGAGUAUAUUUUGAUUUCUAGCCUUUUGUUUUUUAUAUUAAAUUAAUUUUAGUUUUAAUCGUAUAUUUUUUGAAAUUUAAAUUAAAAUAAUUCCAAAGAAGACUUAAUAAUAGUUUUGAUAAAUAAAUAAAAAACUACAACCGUUGGAUUAAGAAUUUCCCCAAUGAAAUGUGAAGAUGAUUGGAGUUGUUUGCUUAGAAUUUAAUAUAAAUGCAUGCUCACCACUCCAUUUUACAUUCUCCUUUUGCUCGACAUCUCUGAGAAAAACAUGAAAGGGUGGUUAAUACACUUGUAUUUUCUGUUAUUUUCCCUCUUCUUUUCCUCUAAUUCUUGUGCUCUACCACUAUUGUCGUGCCCUCAUGACCAAAGUGCUGCCUUAAACCAAUUCAGCAACUCCUUCUCCGUUGAUUGCUCCUAUUUCGACCCAUGGGAAGCACACAUGACUAAGACAAUCUCCUGGAUGGAAGGGACAAAUUGUUGUCUGUGGGAUGGGGUUAACACUGAUACCGAAACAGGGAAUGUGAUUGCCCUUGAUCUUAGCUUCAGCUGCCUUGUUGGUCCUCUCCAAUCUAACAGCACCCUCUUCCUUCUAUCCCAUCUCCGUCAACUUAACCUUGCUGGGAAUAAUUUCAACAUGUCCCCGAUGGCAUCCCAGUUUGGUCAGUUGACUAGUUUGACCCAUCUAAACAUCUCUGGUUCAGGAUUUAGUGGUAAAAUCCCCCUUGCAAUCUCACACCUUUCUGAACUGUUGUCCCUCGAUCUGUCCGGUAAUUAUGGUUUGAUCUUUGAAGGGCAUGUCUUUGAAAAUGUCGUGAAAAACUUGACGCAACUAAGACACCUUCAUCUCUCAAAUAUCGAUAUGUCUUCAGUUGUGCCUACCUCUUUCCUUAACAUGUCUUCUUACAUAACAACUCUUAUCCUUGAGGAGAAUGGACUUCAAGGAAAGUUCCCAGAAGAUGUUUUCCACUUUCCAUACCUGCAGAAGUUCGAUCUUUUUGAGAUCGAAAACCAGCUAGAACUCAAGUUCCCAAAGACAAAUUGGAGUGGUCCCCUCAAGUCAUUGCAAGUCAGACGUGCAUAUUUGCAGGAACUACCUGAUUCAAUUGGCAAUCUUAGAUCUUUGGAGAUAUUGGAUCUUCUCCGUAGUAAUUUAAAAGGGCCAUUCCAGCAUCUCUCGGAAACCUCACACAACUUGAAUAUCUAGAUCUUUCCUCUAAUAACUUUUGGUGCUCCUAUUCCAUGUUCAGUUUUCAACCUCACUCAAGUUCAGUUUCUAGAUUUUUCUUGAAACGAGUUGGUGGGUUCCCUUCCAUCAAAAGUGAGUGGGCUUUCACAACUUAGAAUUCUACGCCUUCAUCACAACUUUCUCAGUGGCGGAGUACCAUCCUGGUUGUUCACUCUUCCAUCUUUAGUUCAGUUAAGGCUCAAUAGUGACAAGUUCAAUGGCAAUUUUGAAUUGGACAAACUAUCAGAGCUCAGCAAACUUGAGGUGCUCUCUCUCUCAGAUAAUGCUUUGUUAUCAUUCACCAGUGUAAGCAAUGCCAAUUACUCUUUGUCUAAUCUUGCGAGAUUAGAACUCUCUUCUUGCAACAUCAGCGAAUUUCCAAAUUUUGUAAGAAACCUAGAAGGUUUGACCGAUCUAGACCUUUCUUACAAUAGAAUUCAUGUUAUCGAGGCAGAUAUGUUUCUAAAGCUUAAAGGCCCUAAAGUCUUGGAUCUUUCACACAACAUUCCGUUGUCUGUGCGCGACGAUAGCGAGGUUGAUCUUGUUUUGCCCAUUCUUAAUAGUUUGUUGUU